Molecule: ribosomal RNA, 450 nt
Filed under: uncultured Paracoccaceae bacterium
Lineage: Bacteria; Pseudomonadati; Pseudomonadota; Alphaproteobacteria; Rhodobacterales; Paracoccaceae
Description: bacterial SSU rRNA
Rfam family: Bacterial small subunit ribosomal RNA
Source: RNAcentral
AACGAACGCUGGCGGCAGGCCUAACACAUGCAAGUCGAGCGCCCCGCAAGGGGAGCGGCGGACGGGUGAGUAACGCGUGGGAACGUGCCCUCUUCUACGGAAUAGCCUCGGGAAACUGGGAGUAAUACCGUAUACGCCCUUUGGGGGAAAGAUUUAUCGGAGGAGGAUCGGCCCGCGUUGGAUUAGGUAGUUGGUGGGGUAAUGGCCUACCAAGCCGACGACCCAUAGCUGGUUUGAGAGGAUGAUCAGCCACACUGGGACUGAGACACGGCCCAGACUCCUACGGGAGGCAGCAGUGGGGAAUCUUAGACAAUGGGCGCAAGCCUGAUCUAGCCAUGCCGCGUGAGCGAUGAAGGCCGUUAGGGUUGUAAAGCUCUUCAGGUGGGGAAGAUAAUGACUGUACCCACAGAAGAACGCCCCGGCUAACUCCGCGCCAGCAGCCGCGGUAAU